Molecule: ribosomal RNA, 440 nt
Filed under: uncultured bacterium
Lineage: Bacteria
Description: bacterial SSU rRNA
Rfam family: Bacterial small subunit ribosomal RNA
Source: RNAcentral
CCUACGGGGGGCACCAGUGGGGAAUAUUGGACAAUGGGCGAAAGCCUGAUCCAGCAAUGCCGCGUGUGUGAAGAAGGUCUUCGGAUUGUAAAGCACUUUCGACGGGGACGAUGAUGACGGUAUCCGUAGAAGAAGCCCCGGCUAACUUCGUGCCAGCAGCCGCGGUAAUACCAAGGGGGCUAGCGUUGCUCGGAAUGACUGGGCGUAUAGGGCGCGUAGGCGGUUUAUGCAGUCAGAUGUGAAAUCCCCGGGCUUAACCUGGGAACUGCAUUUGAGACGCAUAGACUAGAGGUCGGGAGAGGGUUGUGGAAUUCCCAGUGUAGAGGUGAAAUUCCCAGAUAUUGGGAAGAACACCGGUGGCGAAGGCGGCAACCUGGCUCGAUACUGACGCUGAGGCGCGAAAGCGUGGGGAGCAAACAGGAUUAGAUACCCUUGUAGUC